This is an RNA transcript of Pseudopipra pipra, 8728 nucleotides long. It is a transcript of the gene named zinc finger protein 207, with no coding region annotated. The record is from RefSeq and is a predicted model, not a curated record. The transcript is spliced from 13 exons. NCBI's taxonomy places the organism in Eukaryota, Metazoa, Chordata, Aves, Passeriformes, Pipridae.
GAGCGCGGAGGCGGUGGCGCCUGAGGGAGCGCGGCCGCCAUUUUGUACCUCCUCGCUCGCUCCGGGGCGGUCGCGCGGGCGCUGCGGUUCUGAGGGAGCGCUCGGCUCUCCUGCUCUGUAGCUCGGGGUCGCUACCACAGCCAUGGGACGUAAGAAGAAGAAGCAGCUGAAGCCUUGGUGCUGGUAUUGUAAUAGGGAUUUUGACGAUGAAAAAAUCCUUAUACAGCAUCAGAAAGCAAAGCACUUUAAAUGCCAUAUAUGUCAUAAGAAACUCUAUACAGGACCUGGUUUAGCUAUACAUUGCAUGCAGGUACAUAAGGAAACAAUAGAUGCUGUUCCAAAUGCUAUUCCCGGAAGAACAGACAUUGAACUGGAAAUCUAUGGGAUGGAGGGCAUUCCAGAAAAAGAUAUGGAGGAACGGAGGAGGUUACUUGAACAAAAAACUCAGGAGAGCCAGAAAAAGAAACAACAGGAUGACUCUGAUGAGUAUGAAGAUGACGAAUCUGCGGCUUCGACUUCAUUUCAACCCCAGCAGGUUCAGCCACAGCAGGGGUACAUUCCCCCAAUGGCACAGCCUGGUCUGCCUCCUGUGCCAGGUGCUCCAGGGAUGCCUCCAGGUAUUCCGCCAUUAAUGGCAGGUGUUCCACCUAUGAUGCCUGGAAUGCCUCCAGUUAUGCCUGGAAUGCCACCUGGAUUACAUCAACAGAGAAAAUACAUGCAGUCAUUUUGUGGUGGAAACAUGAUGAUGCCAAUGGGUGGAAUGAUGCCUCCUGGGCCAGGAAUCCCACCUCUUAUGCCUGGUAUGCCACCAGGUAGGUCAGGGUUGUCGAACUCGUACUAUGGUAUGCCUCCCCCCGUGGGGCCGCGGCCUGGCAUGCCCCCAAUGACACAAGCCCAGCCUGUCACAGCUCCAGGCAUCCUUAACCGGCCUCCAGCUCCUGCUGCAACAGCACCCACCCCACAGCCUCCAGUCACUAAACCACUCUUCCCAAGUGCGGGGCAGAUGGGGACACCUGUCACAAGCUCAAGUGCAGCUUCCUCCAAUUCAGAAAGUCUGUCAGCGUCUUCUAACGCUCUGUUUCCUAGCACAGCACAAGCUGCAGCAGCUGUGCCAGGGCCAGUUGGUACUGAUUUCAAACCUUUGAAUUCUACACCUGCAACGACAACAGAGCCCCCAAAACCUACAUUCCCUGCUUACACACAGUCCACAGCCUCAACCACUAGCACCACCAACAGUACUGCAGCUAAACCAGCCACAUCUAUAACAAGUAAGCCUGCUACCCUCACCACAACCAGUGCAACCAGUAAGUUGAUCCAUCCAGAUGAGGAUAUAUCACUGGAAGAGCGAAGGGCUCAGUUGCCCAAGUACCAGCGCAAUCUUCCUCGGCCAGGACAGGCUGCCCUGGGUAAUCCACCAGUUGGACCAAUUGGAGGUAUGAUGCCACCACAGCCAGGAAUUCCUCCACAGCAACAAGGAAUGAGACCUCCCAUGCCACCUCAUGGUCAGUAUGGUGCUCAUCACCAGGGCAUGCCAGGAUAUCUUCCUGGGGCCAUGCCUCCAUACGGUCAGGGACCUCCGAUGGUGCCCCCGUACCAAAGUGGACCUCCUCGACCUCCCAUGGGAAUGAGACCCCCCGUAAUGUCGCAAGGUGGCCGCUACUGACGCUCCUACUCACGCUCUAAUAGGUUUGGAGAUUAAACCUUUUCUCAUCUUGUGCUGUUAAUAUAGCAGAGCUUCCGUCAAUUAAGGCUUCAUUGUGACUUUAAAAAUAUAAGUACCUUCCCAGAUGCAAGGAGCUAUUGGACAUUCUUAUUUUACAUGGGAAAAAUUAUUUGGAAUAAUAACAGGAACUUUUCCUGAUGUUGCAAUUUAUACUGUAUGGCUUCUUUUUCAUGUUUCAUCUAGGUUUUUAGAAGUGAAGUAUAGUAAAUAUGGUUCGUUAAAUUGUGAAGGCGCUGGAAUUACAUGAACAUACCACCUUAAAGCCCUGCCAUAGGACAGGCUGAGGCAGAGUCUCAGUGUUGCCCUGUUCAGUCUGAGGCAAGUGGGAUUUAUUUUAUUCAUUCUGGGGGCUUUCACAGCUUUAUGGCUGUUGGAUAUUUAUGUCCCCAAACUUGCAGCAAGUUUGGUGAAGGCCCCUAAAUUUAUUUUAAUUUAGGUUUUUUAUUCUCUUUUGGUAGAUGGGCUCUAUAUUAAUAUUUAUCUUUUUAUUAUCGUUGUGAUUUUAAGAGUCUUAGGGGGAGGGAGGCUGUUUAAGAUGUUUGGGUACCUUUUCUCUUGGAAUGCAUUUCCUUUGAGGCUGCUCAGGGGUCCUUCAGCCACACUGCCCCUCCCCACCUUUCCCUGCAUUGCAUUUGUGCUGUAUUUGUUUGGGGUUUGGUAGUGUUGACUUUGUGUAGUCUCUGAAUUAGUGGCAUGUAAAUACCAAGUACUAAUGUUUCCUCCUCUGGGGAGAUGUAUCUGUUGAAGUGCUUAAAAUAGGUUUUGCCCAGCAGGUGACAUUUAUAGGCACCAAAUUGUGUAGCCCAAAUUCCAGAACAGUUUCUUUGCAGAAGGUUGAGAUGUUAAUCCUGCUGCAUACGUGAGCUGCACCUCAGCAAAUAUUAAUGUAGAGCCCUGGGAGGAGCCUGAGGUUUGAUCCAAGUUGGUAACACAGAAUAGAAGAGUGAGAAAUGGAAGCUGCAGAUUUCUCUUCUGGAGUUUCUGGAAGAACCUUUUCCUCAACCUCUCCAAUACACCAAACUCAACAGUGUUUUGACUGUUGCAACAAUAGUGAAAGUCACAGCAGUUUUCUUGAAACUUUGUGGAAUUCUGUUGCAUAUUCAAAAUUUGCUUAGUUAUGUUUAUUUGAAGUUCCUUCUCUCACACAGUGACUAGCAAAAAAUUGUACCCUUUGUGAAGGAAAAGCUGCUCACUCUGGUGCAGAUACAUUGAAGCUUGAGGUUGCUUAAAGACAACUUCAGCUUCAGAAGAGCAGGUUUUGUCCAAGGAGAUCUUGCAGCCUAUCAGCAAUGAAAUGGAAAAUAAAUGUAGGAGUCUAGUUUUACAAUUUUUUUUCAGGUUUUCAAAAUCUAUGGUAGUUUUUGAUGAGCAUACAGUCUGUCUCAUUUCUUCAAGAUUUUGCUAAAUAAUGGCCCCCAGUGGGAUUUUCAGUAAUUUGAAUUCAAGGACAGAGUUGUAAUUCUUAACUUAGAAGAGUGAUUGCACAUUCCUGUUGUGCCCUUCUUUGCUUGUACUCUGCCCUUUGCAUUUUUCCUGGAGAAGGCCCCUCCAAGUCACCCAGUCUGGAAAAUUGUCCUCUGACUGUUCCAAAAUAGUUACUGAGCAUGGCCUUGCUUUUCUAAUUCUCAUUGUGGUGCUCUCCCAGUAACAGUGAAGAUGAGAACAACUCUUCAGCUAGGAUUUGUUUCACUUUCUUAGUUUACAGGAGCAUUUGGUUUAUUCUUAUUUCCCUACAAUGUCCAAGGAAACUGUUUAACCCAAAAUAAUAGUGUGGGUUGUACUUCUUACUUUAAGUCUGAAUCUUGUGGAGACUCAAAGUGAAAAAUAGGCAAAUUUCAAAUGCCUGAUCCUGAACUUUUUUUCCCAGUUUCCAUUUAAGACUGAUCCAGCACUAGGUGGACUUUAUCCAGCUCCUCAUGUUCAGCCUGUCAUCAAGCCCACAAAGCUAAAAUUCAGAUACAUGUGCUGUCUUGUGUCCAGUGAGGUACCCACUUAGAUCCACACUGGGGUUAUGCCUUAUAAAUUGAUACCCUGGUGAGAGCUGAAAGUUUCCCAGUUCAGGGAGAUUGCUUUUAUCUGGUUUUGUUGAAGUUAUUUUUUUCCCCAUGAACAUGUCAAAUCAGUUCUCCAAAAUGCAGUUCCUGUUUUCACUGUGUCAUUGUUUAACCUCUGUAUACUAAUCCUUCAGAGCAAAUGAACCAUUUCUUUGUGUUUUGGCAUGUUUUGUGAGCAAAAUAUAACAUUUUUUCAGCACCACGUUGCUGUGGGAUUUUUUUCCUUAAAGGUGCUUUUAAGCAAUUCCAGGAAGUUUAAUUUCACACUACCUGCUUUUGAAUGAUGCAUUUGACAUUAAGACAGUUCUCUGGGGCGUUACUGUAUGAAUUAAAGGUUUUCUGACUGGAUUUUCCUGCUCCACUGCAAACAGUGCUUGUGGUUUCUGGUGGGUAGUUCACCCCCUUCACUUCCCCUGGGCAUUCCUGUCCUUUCUGUAAGUCACUGAAGGACUGGAUGGGACAGGUCCUGUUUCUUCCCUCUUUGGGAGUUGGUAGCAUUGGCAGAUGGCAUUGGAGUUAUUCUGAUGUUGCCACAGACUGAUGUUUGUCCUUAAAUUGGCAGCAAUAAUGACUUUCCUUUGCUUUGUGUUUUGUCCUUAAGUGACAUGUGCAAGUGCUGCUAUCCUUGUAGUCCCCAGGAUGGCAUAAAGUGCUUUUUGCUGGGAGUAUCUCCUCAGCUGUUAGACCAGCUGGCCUCUCAUCUCUUUGAAAUGACUCCUAAAAGUCUCAUCUGGUGUAAAUGGUUCAUGUCUUGCUCUUUUUGUGACGUUUCCUUAGUGAUAUUUUCCUCCCUGCCUCCUCGUGUGGAUCUAAGGGGGAUAGUUAAAAUAACUUGUAGUCUUUAUUUUGAGGGAUGAAGUGUGUUCCUCCUUGCAUUCCAGUAUUGCAGCAGCUUGUGUAUCACGAAGUUGUACAUCUCACUGUUUGUGAAUUUUCUAAUUAUGGCAAUAUUUUAGUGACUUUUAUAGAUAUUAACAGAGGUAGGUCUCGGAGUUCAGGGGUUUUUUAAGCUUAAGUAGAAGUACAUGACUUUUACUCAAGGGGCAGGAGUUACUGAUACUCUGCUAAACUGGGUAAAUUUGCACCCGUGUUAAACAAGAGAAGUGAAUGGGAGAUGUGGUAAAUAAAGUACACACCACACAUGAGGGACUCCAAAAAAAUCUGUGCUUGCCAUCAAAAUACUCAGAGCAGUGAAACAGUACCUGGGUUCUAUAGGAAUGCAGUGACUCCCACAUUGUCUGCAGUAGCUGGGCUGGGGAGGUUGUUCAGAGUAAGGGAAGUUUUGGGGCAGCUGUUGAAGGGAUCAGGAUGAAUUCAGGUGAUUCUACAGUGUAAUGUGAUAACAUUCUUUUGGAGGUCCUGAGGAACACGUGGGGUUUCCUUGCACACUGUGAGCAGCAGCUCUGGGCAACCUUGGUUGGCAGAGCCCACAUUCCCAGGAAGGCUGGGCUGGAGGAAAUGCAGUUUUGCUUUAAUCUUGUGCCCGUGUGUCUGAGGGAGCUGGGCACUGGAGCCUCAGCCAUGUCCUGUCCUGACUGCAGGAUCCAGGGGGUUAUCCUUGGGAUUUGUUCUGGGCAUCCUGGGAGGCAGUUCUGACUGACCCUGGUGUGAAUAGCUGGAGGGUUGGUAUUUAUAUACCUGGUCCCUGCUGUGAGUAGUGAGGCACUGGCACCUUCUGAACAAGCUUUCAGGAACCUCUGACAUUCUUAGGGGCUUGUUUGCAGUGGGGACAGUCAGCAACAUGGCUGUUUUAGUGGCAGGGAAUUUAACUUCUCCAGAAAUACAGUCUUGAACUUAAGGUUUUUUAAGAAAACAGAAUUUUAAUGCCAGUAUCAUCUUGACUGAAAGUGAGAAAGUACAAACUUUGAGAGCUUGAAAGCUUAAAAAUUCUCUUGUUGGCAGCUAAACAAGGUCUAACUGCCUUAGAAGGGAUUCAAGCUUCUGAUAUCUCAAAUUUUUUUCCUUGAAUUUUGUCUAAAUCUUUACCAUAUUCCCAGGUGCUAUUCAGAAGGGGGUGGGGGUGCUGUGUAGAAUUUCAACUGCUCCUGCCCUUAGUAGCCAAUAUGAGUAGCUGUUUUUCGGUGACAGUAAUUUUGAAUUACCAGAAAUUAGUGCAAUACAACCAGGGGAAGCUAUUUCACUGUCUCCCAACUUAAAAAAUUACAUAAAGCUUUGAGUUCAGGGUAUCAUGCAGAGCUUUUUUUCUUUCUCUUUUUUCAUUGAGUUACUUGCACUGAAUUCUUUAGCUUCUUUCUCAUAAAUCUAAGUGGAAAAAAAUACAUUUUGCUCUUUCAUUUGUAAAGUCCAGAAUAAGAAAACACACUUUAUGAGACUUAAAUGAAGGAACCUGGCAAUGUAAGUAUUGUAAUUUCCUUUAUGUUUGUGGUAGGCAAUAGGAUGACCUUGUUAAAUUUAUGGGUUAUGUAUGAAAAAAUAUCAGAAGAGUAAGGGCAAAUUGAAAAUGAUUUUAUAAUUGCCUUUACUUCAUAUGCUUUUCUUAAGCAACAAAUUGCAAUAAUUGAAGUUUGGCAGCUUUUUCUUUUUUUUUUUUUUUAAAUAAAAAACUAAAUUAUGGGUUAAACACCUUGGUUUAAUACAAUUUGUGUUUCUGUUAACUAGCAGCAGAAUUUCAGCAUUUGCUACUUACUGGUAGAGAAGAAAAAUUCCACAGCACUGCCAGUACAGGUUAGUUUAAUCUGUAAGUACCUGAUGUUCCUAUUUGAAUUAAUUUGUUCAAAUGAUACCACUUAAAUACAUGAGGGGAAUUUUGGUCUCUGAACUGUGAUUGUUAUCUACUACUGAUUUCAGUAGUGAGUGAACAUCUAGAUUUUUUUUUUUGGAAGAUCUGUAAUGGAUUUAACUGUGCUUGUGGGCAGGUAAUAAAUACCUGCAAGCACCUUUAAGGAAAAUUUAAUACAGAACCUUAACAAAUACCCUUUGAUGUUACUGGAAAGUUUUGAAAUCACUUCAGUAACAUGCCUUUAUCGAUGAGGCUGUUUUUUAUCAGCAAACCAACAGGAUCCUGUGUUUGUUGUGUUGGGGAUUAAGCAUUUCUGUUUGUAAACUCCAUAGCAGUAAUGUAAUCCUUGGAUUUUCUUUAGCUAUUACUAAUUACCAUUUCCUACCAACAGAUUUUUACUUUGCUAGGCCUGUGAGCCAGGAGCUUGUUCUUCUCUGCUUUUUUUAAUCAUUAUUUUUGUUAGUCCAUUGCAGCACUUCAGAGGCUACCUACAAAUGUGGUUUUGUCCAGCUGUUUUAUCUUACUCCAGAGUUACUGCUGUGCCUCUAUUUUACUUCUGCCCUAUCCCAUAUUCUCAGAUAUUCUGGCAUUUUAUUUUUAUUUUAUAGAAUAUUUUACACCUUAAAACAGGAGAGGUUCUUUGUGAUGGGAUAGAAGAUGCACCUUUCUCCAGAAUGGCUGCAUCCAUCUAUUUUUACUUAGACUUUAUGUAUCUCCUUUCUACAUAUCAGCACAGGAGAUAAAAGCUUUUUCUGUGCUGUAGCACCAAGCAUAGAUCCACAGCUGGAUGGGCUGUAGAUCUGUGCUUUAAUUCACUUUUUAAGGCCAUGUUAUCACACUCUGAGGGACUUUUGACAUUGUAGGUGGAUAAUUCCAUAGACAGUAGGUACUGGGAGGGUCAGAGUAAAGUGGGAGCUGAACAGACACUUCAGUUGUGCAGCUCAUCUGGAGGGGCUGGAGUGAGUCUAUGAGUGUCUUGCCACUUGCAGUGGUACUGUUUAUUUUAGAAUUCUGGAAUCUUACACAGUGCUGCAGAAUUCAGACCACCACACACACUUUCAAGGGGAUUGUGUCUUCCCAGGCUCACAGGAGUUACACUUGCAGCCCAUCUCUGGCAUCUUCUUUACACCAGUUCUCAGUACUUCACACUAAACUGCUUUGUCUGCAAAACUAAUGUUGGUUGCACAGAUGCUUCUCCCUAGCAGGAAAAAAAAGGGAAGUCCUAUAUAGUGAAAUUUCUAACUUAGCUUUACCUGUAUUUGCUUCACCUUGGUGGCAGGUGUGUGUGAGCAGUAGGGAUCCCUUGCUGUGAGGCCAUUCUGGUAACAGGGUGUAUCCACGUUUCUUGUAACCUCUGUGGGUGACCCCAGUUCAUACUGCAACACUGAGUACUGAGCUGGGCUGAGGAACUGAUGGCUCUUGGCUGCUCAGGUACCUCAUGAAGUCCUGGUUUUCACAGUGGUUGGGUGCCACCUGCACUGCUGGUACCCCAGCCUGGCAGUCCCUGGGGAUAACUAAGGGGUACAGUGUGUUCCAGACUGUCUUAACCAAAACCAAGUGCAUCUGUCCAGGGUAGGUCCUGCUAGACCUCUGGUGGAACAUCAUCUCUGGGAUGUCCAGUCUCAAGUGGUUCAGCACUCUUCUUCCCCAGUUCUGGUACAGUAUAUGUGGAAGAGGUUGGCAUUUCCCACUAUUUCCUUAGACUUCUUGCUGACUCCCAAUUGCUCCUUCAGGGUUUCUGGACACUGUGCAGUGAACCCAAACUGAGCAAACUCCAAGCUGGUUUUAGUACCUUCAUAGAGCACGUGAGUGAGUUGUCCCCUCUCAGUAGCAGUACAGCCACAGAAAUGAAUGUGUUGUGAAGGUUUUUUCUGUCACUUGAUACUGCUUUCGUGUAAGUGGUGUGAAAGGGCUGGGAUUACUGAUCUUUUUCAAAAGACAGGUGGUGGCAAAAUACUGAUGUUGAAUUUAAUUGGACAAAGUGAGAGACUGGUAAGUAUGUGCAUCACUUUAAUGCAUGCAAAUAGUAACAUAACUAGCUUAAUUUUAUAGCAUUCAGUUUACAAAGAAGAUUCAAAGAAAACAUGGAGCAAACAUUUGCAUCCACUGGGAACCUUGUAUGAACUGUGUGCUUCAGCAAUGGAUCAUUGCACAUAUCUGUAAUGUGUAACCACUUUGUAACAGUGUCUGAUUAAAAGAAGUGAACCACUG